Long non-coding RNA from Rana temporaria (common frog), 1256 nucleotides. RefSeq lists it as uncharacterized. The transcript has 3 exons. NCBI's taxonomy places the organism in Eukaryota, Metazoa, Chordata, Amphibia, Anura, Ranidae. The record is from RefSeq and is a predicted model, not a curated record.
GCUCUGCACUGGCCGCGAGGAGGGCUGAGCUGAUAGAUAGCUGGAGAGACGAUUCAGCUUCCUCCUCCCUCCAGCCUGAAGGUGGCAAUAGAGAGCGCCGCUGUGCAGUGAGGACAGGCUGUCUUCUCCCUCAGUCUCUUUCACCAUAUCACAUGACUGGAGGAAGGAGAUGUUCCGCACAGUGUGUCUAACUGCAACCUUGUGCCGAGAAGUCAACUUCGCCCCCGCCUGUGAAAAGAAAAUCGUCCACAUAUACAGGAUUAAAACUGAAUAGAAAAACUCUAAGUGCACUCUACUGCUUCAGGGAUCACUCAGUUGUUGGACCUCACAUCAUUAUGAUCAAUCAUACGGUGCAAGCUAAUCAGUGUAAAAAGGAUUGUCAGCAAUGAAGAGAGAAGGGCACAGAGAACAGUUGAAAUGUGUGAGAAAUUCAGGAAUCGUGGGUACCCAAUAGGUAUGAUACAGCAUGAAGUGGGGAAGCUGGAGUGUACACAGAAAACGUAUAAAAGAAACAAAAGAUGUAGUUGCAAGUGGCUCCCCUUCUCCAUUGAAUAUCAUAACUAUAGUGAAGAGAUUUUUAAAGAGGAGUUCAAACCCACCCCUUUAAAAAUUUCACUUUUGGGUGGAACUCUGCUUUAAGAUAAUUAUAAAACAUUGGACAUUACUGCAACAUGCAUUCCCUGAGAUAGAACACUUUCAGGAAAUACCAUUGAAGGCAUAGUGAAGAAAUCAAACUUUAAGGGACAUGUUGGUACAUUCUGAACAUAAAAGUGCAAAAAAAGGUAGAAUUAUUUUUUAUUUUUUUGGGAAGUAGGAGAAAUGGAUCGUAUCCAUGCCUCAGUUGUGUGUAGUGCAAGUUAAUGAGAAAAGGGGAUAGUUGUAUACACCCUGUAGAUAAAAAAAAGUAUAACAUCCGCAGAUUCCACACGUGUCACAAUAAAUGUGGGAGAGACUACAGAAAAGAUCAAGGACGUAAACAACCGAGUUUACCUGUCCCUAAACAUUACAUGCAAUAUGGGCAAAAUGACACAGAUUUGGAGUUUAUGAUUUUGGAAGAGAUACGUAGACACAAAAGGGGAGGAUAUAGGAUCCUGAAAUUGAAGUAGAGGGAGAUUGAACUCUUUACAUCCAUAUGGUCUAAACAAAGAUUACGAUCUAUACUUGUUUUUGUAGUUCUCUAAGGGUAUGUAUGGGGGCAAUGAUUGGUACAAAGGAUGUUUGAUAAAUAUUUUUUAUAAAAUAUUUUUUAUAAAUCA